This 407-nucleotide ribosomal RNA is filed under the name uncultured bacterium. Its description in RNAcentral is "partial 16S ribosomal RNA". It matches the Rfam family "Bacterial small subunit ribosomal RNA", at positions 30 to 526 of the family's 1533-position model. The record is from RNAcentral.
AUUGAACGCUGGCGGCAGGCCUAACACAUGCAAGUCGAGCGGAGCGGCGGACGGGUGAGUAAUGCCUGGGAAACUGCCUGGUGGUGGGGGAUAACGCCCGGAAACGGGCGCUAAUACCGCAUACUAUCAGAUGAGCCUAGGUCGGAUUAGCUAGUUGGUGGGGUAAAGGCCUACCAAGGCGACGAUCCGUAGCUGGUCUGAGAGGAUGAUCAGUCACACUGGAACUGAGACACGGUCCAGACUCCUACGUGAGGCAGCAUUGGGGAAUAUUGGACAAUGGGCGAAAGCCUGAUCCAGCCAUGCCGCGUGUGUGAAGAAGGUCUUCGGAUUGUAAAGCACUUUAAGUUGGGAGGCGUUACCAGCAGAAGAAGCACCGGCUAACUUCGUGCCAGCAGCCGCGGUAAUAC